AUGCAGGUUGUCGGAGAGGUCGAGGAAGACGAGCGACGAGGCGUUGCCGAGCUCCGGCGGUAUCUUGCCCUCGAGACUGUUCUUGUAAAGGAAAAGCGAGGUGAGCGCCGGGAGCCUCCCGAUCUCCGGCGGGAUCGGGCCCUCGAGGUUGCCGAUGGCGAGGUCGAGGUCCUGGAGGUUGGCGAGGUUGCCGAGCUCCGGCGGGAUGGGCCCCUCGAGCUCAUUGUACCCGAUGAUGAGGCUCUCGAGCGACUCGAGCUCCCCGAGCUCCGGCGGGAUCUUGCCGCCGAUGUUGUUGCCGGAGAGGCCCAGGAACCUGAGCUUGGUGAGGCUCCGGUACGCCGCGGGGAUGCCGCCGCUGAAGAAGUCCCCGCGCAUGUCGAUGCUCUCCAGCGACGUGGCGUUCGCGAGGUCCGCCGGGAGGGCGCCGACGAAGUUGUUGCCGGAGCCGUUGACGGCGACGAGGCCCGCGCACGAGCCGAGGCCCGCGGGGAAGGCGCCCUCGAAGGAGUUCUGGCUGACGUCGAACACCUGCAGGCUCGACAGCGGCGCGAGCGACCUGGGCAGCGCGGCGGCGAAGGCGUUGGAGGAGAGGUUGAGCACCGCCAGCGCCGGCAGCCGGAGCAGGUCCGCGGAGACCUUGCCGCUCAGGUUCCUCCCGGCGAGGUCGAGCCCGUCGACGAGGCCGGCGGCGUUGCACCGGACGCCCGUCCACUUGCAAUGCGGCGAGCCGGCAGCCUUCCAGUCGCCAAGCACACCCAACGGGUCCACGAAGCCCGCCUUGAGCGCCAGCAGCGCCCCCCGCUCACCAUCACCGCCAGCCGCGCCGACAUUGCCGACGCUGGACAAGACGACAGCCAGUGCCGCCACCACCAGAACCGCCAGUCUCGCCGCCGCCAUUGUCAGCACAGAAUCCACCACAGGAAAAACAACUUUCCCUUAAAGAAACCACUUCCUAGCUUAGCUCAGCCCAGCUCUCUGCUGCUUCUAGUGCUCUGCCAUUGUCAGUGCAGUGUCUCCUCUGCCCUGCUCUGCUCUGCUCCUCUUAGUUUACUCCACCAGCUUGCAUCCGCAGGAGGAAGAAGAUCGAAGAAGAAGAGGAGCAGCAGAGUCUGCAGCUAG
RNAcentral lists this ribosomal RNA (1122 nucleotides) under Triticum aestivum (bread wheat). RNAcentral describes it as "partial small subunit ribosomal RNA". The record is from RNAcentral. Lineage: Eukaryota; Viridiplantae; Streptophyta; Magnoliopsida; Poales; Poaceae.